This 403-nucleotide ribosomal RNA is filed under the name Verrucomicrobiota bacterium. RNAcentral's name for it is "Verrucomicrobia bacterium partial 16S ribosomal RNA". It matches the Rfam family "Bacterial small subunit ribosomal RNA", at positions 355 to 776 of the family's 1533-position model. Lineage: Bacteria; Pseudomonadati; Verrucomicrobiota. The record is from RNAcentral.
UGGGGAUUAUUGCACAAUGGGGGAAACCCUGAUGCAGCGACGCCGCGUGAGCGAUGAAGGCUUUCGAGUCGUAAAGCUUUUUCCUAGGGGAAGAUAAUGACGGUAUUAUAGGAGGAAGCCCCGGCUAAAUACGUGCCAGCAGCCGCGGUAAUACGUAGGGGGCGAGCGUUGUCCGGAAUUAUUGGGCGUAAAGGGUACGUAGGCGGUCUAUUAAGUCAGGUGUGAAAGCGUGAGGCUUAACCUCAUUAAGCACUUGAAACUGAUAGACUUGAGUGAAGGGGAGGAAAGUGGAAUUCCUAGUGUAGCGGUGAGAUGCGUAGAUAUUAGGAGGAAUACCGGUGGCGAAGGCGACUUUCUGGGCUUUUACUGACGCUCAGGUACGAAAGCGUGGGGAGCAAACAGG